This 500-nucleotide ribosomal RNA is filed under the name uncultured bacterium. RNAcentral describes it as "partial 16S ribosomal RNA". It matches the Rfam family "Bacterial small subunit ribosomal RNA", at positions 30 to 523 of the family's 1533-position model. The record is from RNAcentral.
AUUGAACGCUGGCGGAAUGCUUUACACAUGCAAGUCGAACGGCAGCACGGACUUCGGUCUGGUGGCGAGUGGCGAACGAGUGAGUAAUGUAUCGGAACGUGCCCAGUCGUGGGGGAUAACGUAGUGAAAAUUACGCUAAUACCGCAUACGAUCUAUGGAUGAAAGCGGGGGAUCGCAAGACCUCGCGCGAUUGGAGCGGCCGAUAUCAGAUUAGGUAGUUGGUGGGGUAAAGGCCCACCAAGCCAACGAUCUGUAGCUGGUCUGAGAGGACGACCAGCCACACGGGAACUGAGACACGGUCCAGACUCCUACGGGAGGCAGCAGUGGGGAAUUUUGGACAAUGGGCGAAAGCCUGAUCCAGCCAUUCCGCGUGCAGGAUGAAGGCCCUCGGGUUGUAAACUGCUUUUGUACAGAACGAAAUGGUUUCUACUAAUACUAGGAGCUCAUGACGGUACUGUAAGAAUAAGCACCGGCUAACUACGUGCCAGCCGCCGCGGUAA